This 77-nucleotide transfer RNA is filed under the name Deltaproteobacteria bacterium. RNAcentral's name for it is "tRNA-Arg". It matches the Rfam family "tRNA". From Rfam's summary of the family: Transfer RNA (tRNA) molecules are approximately 80 nucleotides in length. Their secondary structure includes four short double-helical elements and three loops (D, anti-codon, and T loops). Further hydrogen bonds mediate the characteristic L-shaped molecular structure. tRNAs have two regions of fundamental functional importance: the anti-codon, which is responsible for specific mRNA codon recognition, and the 3' end, to which the tRNAs corresponding amino acid is attached (by aminoacyl-tRNA synthetases). tRNAs cope with the degeneracy of the genetic code in two manners: having more than one tRNA (with a specific anti-codon) for a particular amino acid; and 'wobble' base-pairing, i.e. permitting non-standard base-pairing at the 3rd anti-codon position. The record is from RNAcentral. Lineage: Bacteria; Pseudomonadati; Myxococcota; Myxococcia.
GCGCCUGUAGCUCAGUCGGAUAGAGCAACGGCCUUCUAAGCCGAAGGUCGCAGGUUCGAAUCCUGCCAGGCGCGCCA